CAAUUGCAUGUGGUGGGUUCAUAUUUAUUAGAUAAAUUUUGGUUUGAACUAAAAUGGAUAUAUUAUGAUUUUGGCUCUAGAUUAAGUGUUUUUGUUCUAAUUAUUGUAAUUAGCCUUGUUGAUGGCUUAUUUUUAUUGUUGCAAGUGUUUGUAAUUUUUAAAAAAAUAAAAAAAGUCAUUAGAGUUGAAGCUAGGCUGUAAUUGGUUCAACCGAGUGAGAGAAUUGAAAAAAAUGAAGAAAGAGGUCACAGACCCGAAAACCCGCCUUGACCGCUUCGCGACCGCCGCGCGCCUGCGCGCCCUCCUGCGCCCGCCGCCGCCUUCGCUCGCGCGCCUGCCUUCGCACGACCGUGUGCGCCUGGGCCAGUUCAAGCCAAUAAUUUGGUUUUUGGGCCGGUUCAAGCGGUUUCGGUUGGUUUUUUAGCCGGUUCGAAGUUUUUGUGGAGUGGUUCUGUAUACACCAAAUUAUUAUGUAAUAAUUUUAGCACUUAGCUUAAUUUAGGAGCCAAAAUCAGUCCAUUUUAGGGUGUUCUUUUUUAUUUAUGCAUGUGAUGUAUGAUUAAUUACUUUAAAUUUGUAUGUGCAUUUUGAAUGUCAUAUAGCACUAGUACAAAAGUGGGCUACGACGACAGUUAUUUACUGUCGCGAACGGAUUUCGUGACAGUUAUUUUCAGUCAUAGAGCGGGGUCAUGGAAAGGCCUUCGCGACAGUUUUUGAAAACUGUCGCAAUAGGUUGUUUUAUGACAUGAAAUAAAUGUCGUUAAUCAACAUUCAACGACAUUCAUACUGUCAUAAUUAUUUUUUAACAUUCAAUAACUAUCAUCAUUUUUUAUUAACGACAGUUAAUAAUUGUCACGAAUUCUAUUAUCGUGACAUGUAUUAAUUGUCAUGAAUAUGUUUUUCGCGACAGUUUUUUUUUGUAAAAAUGUCAUUGUUUAGUUAUUGACGACAUUUUUUUCCAGUCAACGAUUGUGCAAUCGUGACAGUUUUUCGAUAACAUUAAAUGUCAUUGUUUGCCAUUGACGACAUUUUUUUCCAUUCAAUAAUAUAAUGCAAUCGUGACAGUUUUUUUUUUAAAAAAAUUGUCAUUGUUUAUCUUAUGACGACAUGUUAUUCCUGUCACAUAUAGAGCAAUCGUGACAAUUUAUUUUGUUAAAUAACUGUCAUCGUUCUCCAAUUUACAACAACUAUUAACUAUCACUUUCUCAAUUUCCUAUAGUUUUAUUUUGUUCUCCAUGCAGCUCCACCAUUACACGACCAUUAGAAUGACAAUAAUGUAGCUGAGAAUGACAAAAUUUGAAAUUAUACAAGUUUCACACCAAUGUACAAGAAAUAGCCAACACUUUAAUAUAUAUACACUAUAAUACGAUUUAUAAUAUUUGUACAUCUUAAUACAAGUUUCAGUAAUCCACAUGUACGAAAUACUAACCUUAAUCAAAAAUAUCUUAAAUAACAUUCGAAUAUAUUUGACUGGACCAACCGAGAAUGUUCGUUUCUGGAAAUGAUAUUUGAAACAAAACUCAUGAACUUGUCGACUCCAGUUGAACCUACAAAGAAUCCAUACACAUACGUACAGUCAAUGAAUAACUAAAUCAAGUCUCAACAAAAUACAGACACAAACAAGAACUUCAACACUUGAUUCCAUGAAUGAAAAGAGAAGACCAUGAGGACUAUAUUAGGCAAACACAGCAAACAAAACAUACUGCUACUCUUUCUCUCUAGAAUACACAUACCAAAAACAUACCAGCUCACUCUUUCUCUCUAGAAUACACAGUCCACAAUCAAUAUUGAAUACGUCAAUAAUAAAUAGUACAAUGGGUUUUAGGUGUAUAGAUAGUAUGCUUAUCAUACUAACUGCUAAAAAUGUGCACAGGUUAGAAGAAUCCUAAAAGAACCCACAACUAAAACAAACACACAACGGAAACUCACCUGAAAAUCGCUCUAAUCUGUCGCCAAAAAACACUCUCAAUAUCUCAAUCUAGCUGUUUAAGACAAAAAAAGAGAAUGUUGGAGAGUGGUCUCCAGAGGAUUAAAAAUCAUUUUUGACUAGUACAAAUCAUUUUAUAAGAACCCAAAAGCAGAUAAUCAUCCAAAAUCAAUUGAUCAUACGAGAACAAUAUAUCAACAUUCAUAACUAGUUGAACAAACCUUAGCUUUAUGAACCAACGACCUUUGUUUUCAUCUUUCAUGUUGACCAUAGAAGUCAAAACUUCUGUUUUAUAACAAAACUAAAACAAAUAGGACACCAAAGUGCCCAAACAAAAUCAAAAGGUCAAAUGCCAAUAAUAUUUAAAGAAGGAAAUGAUAGCAAAUAGCACAAUUUAGGUAAUAAACAAAAAACAAAGGAAAAAUCAAUAUCAAAAUAGGGACGAACAAUAGAGAUAUGAAUCAACAACUUGGGUAUGAAGCAACAAAGUAAUAUUAACAUAUCAAUAAAACUCAUAAGAGUAACAUUAAACAUAACAAUAUAACUCGUUGUAAAAAGACCCUCCUUAAUUGUUGUGUAAUAUAAUCACUUACUUGGUAGCUUCAACACUAUAGUAGAUCAUAUUCAUGCAAAACCUAAUAAAAACGCAAAAGUUACAUUUUGUAAACUACAAUAGAGAGUUUUGAACUACUACCAUACAACAAAUGUCAAAGAAAAUAAAAACUUUGCAUUUAGAGUUUUGAACUACAGUAGAAACUAAUAUUAACUAUUUGAGAAUAAGAACAUAUCAUCUAUCAAAAACUUAGGUCCAUAGUUUGGGAUAUCAAACGUUCUUACAAUAUAAAAUACUUUCCAUUGAUAACUAUUUGGUUUUUGUUUUUUUUUUAGAACCAUGAAAAAACAGUUUUUGUUUUGAACUUUUUUUUUAUUUAGCUAAAAGUUUAACUUUUGUACUUUAGAAAGAUGUAAAUCGUUAGGUUAAUUUUAAAAACCUAAAAACAACUAGCUACUAAACCGAAGCUUAAAUUGAACUACUUGAAACUUUUAUUCUGCACCUUACAAAAUUUCAUAAAGAGAAGAAUAUUAUUUCAUCAUUCAAUACAACUUCAGCAUGUCUCCUCACCAAAGUAAUCCACUAGAAACAUGGCAAAAAAUUAAUCAACACGUUUUAAAGAUUAAAGAUAAUAUGUUAUUUUACAAGUAAACAAAGAGGUUAAACCUGGAAAAGAAGAUUAGAGAAUGGAAGAAAAGGGUUUAAGACCCAUUGCAUUUGCUUGUCAACAUACAAACGAUCAAACAGCGUUUGAAGGAGAGUUAAAGCUGCUUGCUAUCUAGGUCUUAAGAUCUCACAUAAAAAAAAUGCUACAUGAGUUGAAGAUAUUGAAAAUCUUGGUACAGAAUCAAUAGCAUGCAUCAGAAGAUAAGUUUUCUAUGAUCAUAAACAUGGCCGAUGAUGUUAUCAAUGAUGAUCUUCUAAAAAAUAACAAAUUUCUAAAUUGAAGGACAACAAACAUAAAAAAUGAAGGACAAUAGAGAAUAACCAUACAUAUUCUCACAUAGUUUUCGCUACAAAAUACACACAUUUGCAAUAUGCUAUCAAAAUCCAAACGGUGCAAGGCUACCUCAAUGAUUUCACUAAAUCCAAAUUAUGCAAUCAAAAUCAAAGGAUACUGCAUUUGCAUUUUUUCAAAGUUCUAACCACGUCCAUAUUUUUUAGAGUAAAGUUUAACACCAGUAACCAAAAUAGAGAGAAGAAUAUACAGGGGCAAGAUGAAACCAAAACAAGCCAAAACAAGACGACCUUUACACUCAAUUACAGAGGAGGAGCAUGGAAAUCAAAUACUUACGUUUUAUUGUCCACAAUAAUAUAGGUAAAUGGUGAAUGCCUCUUCACAAACCGAGAAACAUAGAAAAUCACAAAUGUGGUAACUCAUAGGAAUCAUUAAACACCCAUUACAAAAAAAAAAAAAAGCAAUAUUCUUUCAGAGUAAAUAGUAGAAAAAAGACAAAAUAUUUAUGGCAACACAUCAGAAAUUUUUAGCACAAUAAAUAUGAGUGUGACUUUAAACUUCUUGCCAAAGAAUAGGUGCAAAAUAUAUAUUUCACUGAAAAGAAGAAAUAAACGAUAAUUAAAUAAUUUACAAGUGUAGGUGACAUUUCAUAAUUCAACAACUGUUAAUUAAGAUACAAACCAAUAGAGGUUUGAAAAGUGGAAAGUUCUCAAUGUUAUUCAAAAUGUCAAAAUUAACAUAUCAGUGUGGAACAUCAAAGCCACAUCACAAUAUUUCAUGCAGACACUGAUGCAAUUGAAUGAAAAGUAAAUUUCACUUCAACUAAGAAAUACAAUUAACGCAGAAUUUUACCUAAAGAAAUUUAAGUUAUGUCUAUCUUUUGAUGUUUCAUUUCAUCAGAGCCUCCAAUUCCAUUACACUUUUUAAUACCAUACACUUGAAAGGCAGUUUGAUAAACAUUUGUAGUUUUGUUCAUUCCACUUCAAAAAACUGAAACAAACAUAGGAAGUAGAACUUCGUUGAGAUCAUUAUUUAAACAAUGGUUUCUUCUUCUAGAAAAAUAUGUUUAAUUCUUCAACCAUUACAAGCAUCAAAUGCAUUCAUGAAUUGACAGUGACAUCAAACUAAUAUGGUAAAAAAAUAAACAAUAAUAUUAUAAUAAACUUUAUCCAUCUUAAUCGGAAGACCUCUCUUUCUACUACUAUCCAAUUCAAUGAGAAAUUAUAAACUACAAACUAUAAAAUUGUCAGUUCUGAAACUCCAACGCAGAAAGAAAAGAACGAAGAUAGAGAAGGCAAUAUGUGGUUUACCUUGGAGAAUGGCACCCCCAAAAAUCAGUUCCAAAAUAAAGUGAAGAAUAGUAUAUAUAGCACCGGUACUCACAGUAAGGGCGUAAAUUGCGUAUCUUCUAACAUUAUCCCAAAAUUCCUCAACCAAAGGGCCUUCAGGCCCAAAGCCAAAGCCCCUUCGCGUUGCAACCAAUCAAAAACAGGCACCACCCAUCGGACGGCUUGAUUGUCUUGAUUUCCCUCUUGAGGUUGCUUCGAUUGUCUUGAAAUUCGAUGUGGAGGGUUUUUUCAGGGGAAAUUGAAUGAAGAGGAAAACAGAAUGUGGAUCGACGACUGGCGGUUGUGAGCGGCGAACGUGGCGGUUACUGGUUCACACGGCGACUCGGGCUUCGACGAAGACAGAACCGGUGAUGGAGACGGCAGAUCGGCGCGCGGAACGACUGCUGCAGGGUUGCUUGGCGAUCCAGAGAUGGAGACGGCAGAUCGCGGGGCUACGGCGGGAAGAAAACGGAAGAGAAAGACGGCUGGCUGCGGCUGGGCUGCGGCGGGAAGGAACGAAAAGAAGGGAAGGGAGAAGGAGACGGUGGAGUCGUCGCGACGUACGGAGGAAGGAGAAGAGGCGCGGCGGUUGCAGCUGGGGGAAGGGGAAGGACGCACGGGAGGAAGAAGGAAAUAGGGAAAAGAAAGAAAAAGGAAAAAGAAAAGAAAAGGAAAAAAGAAAAAAAAUUUAACCCUAACAUUCUAUGACAGUUAAUAACUGUUGCGAAAAGUGUUUUUCCGAAAAAUUCCGUCUUUUCCCGCCAAAAACGCGAAAUUUUAUAUUUCGUGACAGUUUUUUUUCUUCCAUUCAUUUUUUGAGAUAUAUAACUGUCAUUGUAGGGUAGUUUUCUUCUAGUGUAGAUUUAAAAUCCCACCAUAGGUUAACAUGUUCAUGCAUUAAAAUGUAUGAUAUAAAGGUUAUAUUGUAUUGUAUGCAUGUUAAUUGAUUAAUAUGGAAAUUAAUUAAUAUGAUUAAUUAAUUAUUUAAUUAAUUAAGUUAUUCUUGAUUAAAUAUGAUUUAAUCAAAUUAAUUAAUUAUUGUUUGAUUUAAUUUAAUUAAAUAUGAUUUAAUUAAAGUUAAAUAAAUUAAAAUCCAUAUUAAUUGAUUGUUUUUAUUAUAUAUUGAUAAAAUGAUUGAUUAAGUUUAAAAGUUUUUAUAAGUGUUAUAAAAUAAAUUAGACUUUUAAAAUCAAUAACAAAGAUUAAAUGCAUGCUCACUUAGGUUAAACAUAUCUUCCAUUUUUCAUAGAAAUAGGUCGAUAUCUUGUAAAACUGGUUACAAAAGGCUCACCUGGUUCAAUCUUGUCAACAAGUCAGAUAAGAUGACUAAGGUUGGAGGUUCUUAAGUUGACGGUUUACGGAACACCUCCUACCUGGAGAUCGUAAUCAGUUCUUGAGCCUAGUUAACCUAGUUUUAUGAGCAUUCGUGAGAGGUGUGAGGUAAUAAAAAUGGUUUUUCACCUAGACAUCAUAGGUUAAAAUCCUGUAUAAUGGUUAUACUUGGAUGUUUUAUCUAGACUUAAGAUUUGUUUAAGUUAGCCUAAAUAUAAAUCUUGAAGUUUGGAUUACCCUUUUUUUCUUUUAGAACACUUCAACUAGAGAAAAAUAAUGUAUUUUAGCUCUAGUGUCCCUAAGAGUUCACACCGUGAGGUCCAUGCAGGGCUUUGUGCCGUGCAUAGGAGCGGCCUCCCUUCGGAGAGUGUUUGCAUGGAUCAAAAUCAAGGUGAAUAGGGGAAGUAGUUCAUAGUAAGUGGGUGAGGGAUUUGUGCAGCACAUCCCACGGUCUCUUCCAUUAGGUCGCACCGUGAGAUUUCUAUAAUAUGCCUGCUUGUCUGCCCUGGAGCGACGUUCCCUUCGGAGGGUUGUAUUAUAGGAUUCGGAACACCGCGAACUCCAAAACUGGAUAGGAUUUCUUAGAUUAGUUUUCAUAAAUGAUUCUAAUCUAUAAAAUCUGAAAAUGGUGGGUAACACUUACAAGAAUUACUAAGUUGUUAGUAUAUUCUUGACUAAAGUAGCGAUAACUAAGUGCUAUAAAGAAUAAAGAGUUAUUCUUGAGAUAGCAUCUAGUCAAGAUUGUCUUGGUUCAAAGGAGGAAUAAUCAACUACCCUUCGGAGAAGGUUGUUCUAAACCUUUGAAAUAUUGUUGCAAAAUACAAAUAAUGAAAGGGUACAUUAUUAGUAAUUGCUAAAUUAGAUUGGAUAUUUUUUAUGAUUAUAGUUUUUUCUAAAAAGAAUAUGUUUGUUUUUCAGCAUGAAUAGCUCAAUAGUUCAACUUUUAGCUUCCGAAAAACUUAAUGGCGAUAAUUAUGCGGCUUGGAAAUCAAAUCUUAACACAAUACUAGUGGUUGACGAUUUAAGAUUUGUCUUAACUGAGGAAUGUCCUCAAAACCCUGCCUCUAAUGCUAACCGAACUAGUCGGGAUGCAUAUGAUCGAUGGAUAAAAGCUAAUGAAAAAGCCCGUGUUUACAUUCUUGCCAGCAUGUCUGAUGUAUUGGCAAAGAAACAUGAAUCCUUAGCCACGGCUAAAGAGAUUAUGGAUUCAUUAAGGGGAAUGUUUGGGCAACCAGAAUGGUCCUUAAGACACGAGGCAGUCAAAUACAUUUACACUAAGCGUAUGAAGGAAGGGACCUCUGUUAGAGAACAUGUUCUGGACAUGAUGAUGCACUUCAACAUCGCUGAAGUGAAUGGUGGUCCCAUCGAAGAGGUUAAUCAAGUUAGUUUUAUCUUAGAGUCUCUUCCGAAGAGCUUCAUUCCAUUCCAAACGAAUGCGUCUUUGAACAAGAUAGAAUUUAACUUGACAACCCUUCUGAAUGAACUCCAGCGAUUCCAAAACCUAACUAUGGGUAAAGGAAAACAAGUGGAAGCAAAUGUUGCUACCACAAAAAGAAAAUUUAUAAGAGGAUCGUCCUCUAAAACCAAAGCUGGACCCUCAAAACCUAAUGCUCAAAUAAAAAAGAAGGGAAAGGGAAAGACUCCCAAACAGAACAAGGGUAAGAAAGCUGCAGAAAAAGGUAAGUGUUACCAUUGUGGCCAAAACGGGCACUGGUUAAGAAACUGCCCAAAAUACCUUGCAGAAAAAAAGGCAGAGAAGGAAACACAAGGUAAAUAUGAUUUACUAGUUGUAGAAACAUGUUUAGUGGAAUAUGAAAAUUCUACCUGGAUACUAGAUUCAGGAGCCACUAACCAUAUUUGCUUCUCAUUUCAGGAAAAUAGUUCUUGGAAAAAGCUUUCAGAAGGUGAGAUCACUCUCAAGGUUGGAACAGGAGAGAUGGUCUCAGCUUCAGCAGUGGGAGAUUUAAAGUUGUUUUUUAGAGAUAGAUAUGUCAUACUUAAGAAUGUCUUAUAUGUACCUCAAAUGAAAAGAAAUUUAAUAUCUAUCUCUUGUAUUUUGGAACAAAUGUAUAGAAUAUCUUUUGAAAUUAAUGAAGCGUUCGUUUUCUAUAAAGGUAUUCUAGUUUGUUCUGCUAUACUUGAAGACAACUUAUAUAAGUUAAGACCAACUAGAGCAAAUUUUGUCUUAAAUACUGAAAUAUUCAGAACAGCUGAAACUCAGAAUAAAAGACAAAAAGUUUCUUCUAAUGCCUAUUUAUGGCACUUAAGACUUGGUCACAUAAAUCUCAAUAGGAUUGGGAGAUUGGUUAAAAGUGGGCUUCUAAGUCCGUUAGAAGAUAACUCUUUACCUCCUUGUGAAUCUUGUCUUGAAGGAAAAAUGACCAAGAGAUCUUUUACUGGAAAAGGUCUAAGAGCCAAAGGACCCUUAGAGCUCGUACAUUCGGACCUUUGUGGACCAAUGAAUGUCAAAACUCGAGGUGGAUAUGAAUAUUUCAUUAGCUUCAUUGAUGAUUAUUCAAGGUAUGGUCAUAUUUACCUAAUACAUCAUAAGUCUAAUAGUCUUGAAAAGUUCAAAGAAUAUAAGGCUGAAGUAGAAAACGAAUUAGGUAAAACAAUAAAAAUACUUCGAUCAGAUCGAGGUGGAGAGUAUAUGGACUUACGAUUCCGAGACUAUUUAAUAGAAAAUGGAAUCCAGUCACAACUCUCUGCACCUAGUACACCUCAACAGAACGGUGUAUCAGAAAGAAGAAACUGGACCUUGUUAGACAUGGUUCGCUCUAUGAUGAGUUUUUCUCAGAUGUCAGAUUCUUUUUGGGGAUAUGCUUUAGAAACAGCUGCUUAUAUUUUGAAUAAUGUUCCCUCUAAAAGUGUUUCAGAAACACCUUAUGAGCUAUGGAAAGGGCGUAAAGGCAGUUUACGUCAUUUUAAAAUUUGGGGUUGUCCAGCACAUGUGUUGGUACAAAAUCCAAAGAAAUUGGAACAUCGUUCAAAAUUAUGCUUUUUUAUAGGUUAUCCAAAAGAAUCAAGAGGUGGUUUGUUUUAUGAUCCUCAAGAAAAUAAAAUACCACAUCAGGGAUCAUCAACCUCGUAGUAAACUAGUAUUUAAAGAAAUUUCCAAAAGUGCUAUAGAUAAAACCUAGUUCAUCCACUAAAGUAGUUGAUAAGACUAGGAAAUCUGGUCAAUCACAUCCUUCUCAACAGUUGAGAGAGCCUCGACGUAGUGGGAGGGUUGUUCAUCAGCCUGAUCGCUAUUUGGGUUUAAUUGAAACUCAAGUCGUCAUACCUGACGAUGGCAUAGAGGAUCCAUUAACCUAUAAACAGGCAAUGAAAGAUGUAGAUCGUGACCAAUGGAUCAAAGCCAUGGACCUCGAAAUGGAGUCUAUGUACUUUAAUUCUUUCUAGACUCUAGUAGAUCAACCAAAUGACGUAAAACCUAUUGGUUGUAAAUGGAUCUACAAGAGAAAACGAGACCAUGCCGGUAAAGUACAGACUUUUAAGGCUCGACUUGUGGCAAAGGGUUAUACCUAGAGAGAGGGAGUAGACUAGAGGAAACUUUCUCUCCCGUUGCCAUGUUAAAGUCAAUUAGAAUACUCUUAUCCAUCGCCACUUUUUAUGAUUAUGAAAUUUGGCAGAUGGAUGUCAAGACAGCUUUUUUGAACGGUAAUCUUGAAGAGAGCAUCUAUAUGUCUCAACCAGAGGGGUUUAUAAAACAAGAUCAAGAACAAAAGGUUUGUAAGCUUAAAAAAUCCAUUUAUGGAUUAAAACAAGCUUCUAGAUCCUGGAAUAUAAGAUUUGAUAUUGCGAUCAAAAUCUUAUGGCUUUGAACAAAAUGUUGACGAGCCUUGUGUUUACAAAAGGUCGUCAAUUCCAUUAUAGCAUUUUUUAGUCUUAUAUGUAGAUGAUAUUCUACUUAUUGGAAAUGACUAGGAUAUCUUCCUGAUAUCAAGAAAUGGCUAGCUAUGCAAUUUCAAAUGAAAGAUCUGGGAGAUGCACAAUACGUUCUCGGAAUCCAAAUUGUUCGAAACCGUAAGAACAAAACACUAGCCAUGUCUCAAGCAUCUUACAUAGACAAAAUGUUGUCUAGAUAUAAAAUGCAGAAUUCCAAAAAGGGUCUGCUGCCGUACAGAUAUGGAAUUCAUUUGUCAAAGGAACAAUGUCCUAAGACACCUCAAGAAGUUGAGGAUAUGAGAAAUAUUCCCUAUGCUUCCGCUGUUGGAAGUUUAAUGUAUGCAAUGUUAUGUACUAGACCUGACAUUUGCUACUCAGUAGGGAUGGUCAGUAGGUAUCAAUCCAAUCAUGGACGUGAUCACUGGACAGCCGUUAAAAACAUUCUACAUGCUCAUGUAUCGUACAAAGGAUCUGAUCCUUACUGGAUACACUGAUUCAGAUUUCCAAACUAAUAAAGAUGUUAGAAAGUCUACAUCAGAAUCAGUAUUUACUCUAAAUGGAGGAGCAGUAGUUUGGAGAAGCAUAAAGCAAACUUGUAUAGCUGAUUCCACAAUGGAAGCUGAUCAUUUUACAAAAGCCCUCAUGGCUAAAGUGUUUGAGGGUCACCUACACAGUUUAGGUGUACGAUGUUUGUAAACUAGGACAAGUGGGAGACUUAUUGGCCAUGUGCCCUAGUUUCAUAUAUAUUCUCUCACACCACAUCUCUCAUACCACUAGGAAUUUUAGUCCAAGUGGGAGUUUGUUGGAAUUUUUUGUCCUAAAACUCGUAGUUUGUAAAUCAUAUUCUAUUCAAUAAAGUUGUUAUUGAGAAAUUAAAUAUUAUAAUCUUAAAUCCAAUAAAUCAAAGUUCCAAGGCUAUUUUUUGAAUAAACUUGAACUUUAUGUGUAAACAUAAACGUGGAUCAAGUUCGAGUAUAUAGCCUAAAUAGUCUAUAGUAUAUGAAAUAAAGGUUGGGCGCCUUAUUUUGAGAGACUAUGGAUGCGGCCCACUUUGUAGUACAAACGAUGUGAUCCUAAUCGUUCAUGUAGAGACAUGAAAGUGGGGGCAUCCUAUGUAAAAUGUUUACAUAAGACUGAACCAUGAAUUAGUCAUUUUUACGUUAUAACACCGUUUACUGUUUAAAACUGACUAUCUCAAUUAUUGAUGACCUAGGUAACUUAGUCUUAAUCCUGAGUUAACUAUGAACUCCUGUUCAUACGAGAUUAUCCUUAGAUCUGCAUAGGUGAGGGCAGCUCAUCAGCGUUGGCCCAAUAAGCCUCCCAUUUCAGGGGUAAGAUCGGGUGGAUAGCUGGGAACAUAGGGUACAAGAUGGAAUUCACUCCUACCCGCUUUAGGGUUAGUAGAUAGGUUGCUCUCUUAAGCACUGAAUCCAAGUCUUGAACAAGGGGCCCCACCCUCUCAUUGGCCCGAGAGGGAUUAAGUUUAUAGGUUGAACCUUAAACCAAUUGUUCAAUAGUGGAUUAGUGGGACUUAAGGAGCAAGAUGUAAUCUUGGGGGUAAAACGGUAUUUUGACCCAGCCAAGGUUACGAGCAACCUGUGAAGGAUUAACUUACUGAUUAUGGUUUUAUCAAAUGGACACAAAUAUAUCUAUAGUGAGGGGAGUGCAACUACGGGACUUUAGUGGAAUGACCCGUUAGUUAACGAAUGUUGAUUAACUCGGUUUAAAAGAGUUUAGCUAGUUAAUCUUGAAUCGUUGGAGCCCAUGAUCUAUAGGUCCAUUAGGUUCCUCUGCUAGCUCAUAUGGAUUAAACUUAGAACAGUGUGAUGAAAUAAGUCGAAUUGUUCGAAUAGGGAGAAGAAAGGAAAACCGACAUAUACAGUGAUAUAAUCGUCGGUCUUCUAAUUAGAAAUAGAGCUUUAUGUUUUACAUACUAUAAGUAUGAAUGCGGAUUCAUACUAAGAAACUCGGAAUUGGUCAAAAAUGCUAAAAAGUCAAAAUGUUGACUUUUGACUUUGAAAAGUCAAACUUUGACGGCCUUAUAUUCAAAUGUGAUUUGAAUUUGGAAAAAUGAAUGCGGAUUCAUGCUCGGGAGGUUGGAAUUAGUCAAGACGGACAAAAUGGUAAAAAGUCAAAAUAUUGACUUUUGACUUAGAAAAGUCAAAGUUUGACUUUUGACUAGAAAAAUCUAAUGACCAUUUUACCCUUGACUAAGUUAGUGGAAAAUCCAACAUUUUGUUGGAUAAUCCCACUAACUCUUAGUGGAUAUGUGGCUAUAUGAGAUAUAGACACCUAGCCCACUAAGUUCCACUAAUUGUUAGUGGAAUAUUAGGUUGAGAUUUGGCAAUUGAAUUGCAUGCAUUUUUGCAUGUAAUUAGGCUAUAAAUAGAGAUGUUUUCAAAUGUUGAAGGACUUUUGCCUCUUUUAUCAUUUCAUAAUCUCAACAAAAGAAAAAAGAAAGCUUCCAAUCUCAUUUUAUCUCCAUUACUUUCUACACCAAAAUUGGGUCCCACAACCCGGUUCUUUGUCUAGAGGAUAGCAGUUGAGUACUAGUGGUGGUCUCGGGUAGAAUUGGUAAGAAGACAUCAAACCUUUUGAAAGCUUCAAAGGUAAUACUUCUUAAAACCCUAAUUUGAUUAGUUUUAUGGUUAGAUGUUAAUUGUGGCAAUUAGGGUAGAAAUUCGAUUCUUUUCCCCUGUGCAUGACUUAGUUCUAUCACGCAGUAUCAAAUCUUAUAUUCCAGGAUCUAGAAGCUUGUUUUAAUCCAUAAAUGGAUUUUUUAAGCUUACAAACCUUUUGUUCUUGAUCUUGUUCUAUAAACCCCUCUGGUUGAGACAUAUAGAUACUCUCUUCAAGAUUACCGUUCAAAAAAGCUGUCUUGACAUCCAUCUGCCAAAUUUCAUAAUCAUAAAAAGUGGCGAUGGAUAAGAAUAUUCUAAUUGACUUUAACAUGGCAACAGGAGAGAAAGUUUCCUCAUAGUCUACUCCCUCUCUGGAUAUAACCCUUUGCCACAAGUCGAGCCUUGAAAGUCUGUACUUUACCGGCAUGGUCUCGUUUUCUCUUGUAGAUCCAUUUACAACCAAUAGGUUUUACGUCAUUUGGUUGAUCUACUAGAGUCCAGACAGAAUUAAAGUACAUAGACUCCAUUUCGAGGUCCAUGGCUUUGAUCCAUUGGUCACGAUCUACAUCUUUCAUUGCCUGUUUAUAGGUUAAUGGAUCCUCUAUGCCAUCGUCAGGUAUGACGACUUGAGUUUCAAUUAAACCCAAAUAGCGAUCAGGCUGAUGAACAACCCUCCCACUACGUCGAGGCUCUCUCAACUGUUGAGAAGGAUGUGAUUGACCAGAUUUCCUAGUCUUAUCAACUACCUUAGUGGAUGAACUAGGUUUAUCUAUAGCACUUUUGGAAAUUUCUUUUAAUACUAGUUUACUACGAGGUUGAUGAUCCCUGAUGUGGUCUUCCUCUAAGAAUGUGGCAUUUGUUGACACAAAUAUUUUAUUUUCUUGAGGAUCAUAAAACAAACCACCUCUUGAUUCUUUUGGAUAACCUAUAAAAAGCAUAAUUUUGAACGAUGUUCCAAUUUCUUAGGAUUUUGUACCAACACGUGUGCUGGACAACCCCAAAUUCUAAAAUGACGUAAACUGCCUUUACGCCCUUUCCAUAGCUCAUAAGGUGUUUCUGAAACACUUUUAGAGGGAACAUUAUUCAAAAUAUAAGCAGCUGUUUCUAAAGCAUAUCCCCAAAAAGAAUCUGACAUCUGAGAAAAACUCAUCAUAGAGCGAACCAUGUCUAACAAGGUCCGGUUUCUUCUUUCUGAUACACCGUUCUGUUGAGGUGUACUAGGUGCAGAGAGUUGUGACUGGAUUCCAUUUUCUAUUAAAUAGUCUCGGAAUCGUAAGUCCAUAUACUCUCCACCUCGAUCUGAUCGAAGUAUUUUUAUUGUUUUACCUAAUUCGUUUUCUACUUCAGCCUUAUAUUCUUUGAACUUUUCAAGACUAUUAGACUUAUGAUGUAUUAGGUAAAUAUGACCAUACCUUGAAUAAUCAUCAAUGAAGCUAAUGAAAUAUUCAUAUCCACCUCGAGCUUUGACAUUCAUUGGUCCACAAAGGUCCGAAUGUACGAGCUCUAAGGGUCCUUUGGCUCUUAGACCUUUUCCAGUAAAAGAUCUCUUGGUCAUUUUUCCUUCAAGACAAGAUUCACAAGGAGGUAAAGAGUUAUUUUCUAACGACUUAGAAGCCCACUUUUAACAAUCUCCCAAUCCUAUUGAGAUUUAUGUGACCAAGUCUUAAGUGCCAUAAAUAGGCAUUAGAAGAAACUUUUUGUCUUUUAUUCUGAGUUUCAGCUGUUCUGAAUAUUUCAGUAUUUAAGACAAAAUUUGCUCUAGUUGGUCUUAACUUAUAUAAGUUGUCUUCAAGUAUAGCAGAACAAACUAGAAUACCUUUAUAGAAAACGAACGCUUCAUUAAUUUCAAAAGAUAUUCUAUACAUUUGUUCCAAAAUACAAGAGAUAGAUAUUAAAUUUCUUUUCAUUUGAGGUACAUAUAAGACAUUCUUAAGUAUGACAUAUCUAUCUCUAAAAAAAACUUUAAAUCUCCCACUGCUGAAGCUGAGACCAUCUCUCCUGUUCCAACCUUGAGAGUGAUCUCGCCUUCUGAAAGCUUUUUCCAAGAACUAUUUUCCUGAAAUGAGAAGCAAAUAUGGUUAGUGGCUCCUGAAUCUAGUAUCCAGGUACAAUUUUCAUAUUCCACUAAACAUGUUUCUACAACUAGUAAAUCAUAUUUACCUUGUGUUUCCUUCUCUGCCUUUUUUUCUGCAAGGUAUUUUGGGCAGUUUCUUAACCAGUGCCCGUUUUGGCCACAAUGGUAACACUUACCUUUUUCUGCACUUUCUUACCCUUGUUCUGUUUGGGAGUCUUUCCCUUUCCCUUCUUUUUUAUUUGAGCAUUAGGUUUUGAGGGUCCAGCUUUGGUUUUAGAGGACGAUCCUCUUAUAAAUUUUCUUUUUGUGGUAGCAACAUUUGCUUCCACUUGUUUUCCUUUACCCAUAGUAGGUUUUGGAAUCGCUGGAGUUCAUUCAGAAGGGUUGUCAAGUUAAAUUCUAUCUUGUUCAAAGACGCAUUCGUUUGGAAUGGAAUGAAGCUCUUCGGAAGAGACUCUAAGAUAAAACUAACUUGAUUAACCUCUUCGAUGGGACCACCAUUCACUUCAGCGAUGUUGAAGUGCAUCAUCAUGUCCAGAACAUGUUCUCUAACAGAGGUCCCUUCCUUCAUACGCUUAGUGUAAAUGUAUUUGACUGCCUCGUGUCUUAAGGACCAUUCUGGUUGCCCAAACAUUCCCCUUAAUGAAUCCAUAAUCUCUUUAGCCGUGGCUAAGGAUUCAUGUUUCUUUGCCAAUACAUCAGACAUGCUGGCAAGAAUGUAGACACGGGCUUUUUCAUUAGCUUUUAUCCAUCGAUCAUAUGCAUCCCGACUAGUUCGGUUAGCAUUAGAGGCAGGGUUUUGAGGACAUUCCUCAGUUAAGACAAAUCUUAAAUCGUCAACCACUAGUAUUGUGUUAAGAUUUGAUUUCCAAGCCGCAUAAUUAUCGCCAUUAAGUUUUUCGGAAGCUAAAAGUUGAACUAUUGAGCUAUUCAUGCUGAAAACAACAUAUUCUUUUUAGGAAAAAACUAUAAUCAUAAAAAAUAUCCAAUCUAAUUUAGCAAUUACUAAUAAUGUACCCUUUCAUUAUUUGUAUUUUGCAACAAUAUUUCAAAGGUUUAGAACAACCUUCUCCGAAGGGUAGUUGAUUAUUCCUCCUUUGAACCAAGACAAUCUUGACUAGAUGCUAUCUCUAGAAUAACUCUUUAUUCUUUAUAGCACUUAGUUAUCGCUACUUUAGUCAAGAAUAUACUAACAACUUAGUAAUUCUUGUAAGUGUUACCCACCAUUUUCAGAUUUCAUAGAUUAGAAUCAUUUAUGAAAACUAAUCUAAGAAAUCCUAUCCAGUUUGGAGUUCGCGGUGUUCCGAAUCCUAUAAUACAACCCUCCGAAGGGAACGUCGCUCCAGGGCAGACAAGCAGGCAUAUUAUAGAAAUCUCACGGUGCGACCUAAUGGAAGAGACCGUGGGAUGUGCUGCCACAAAUCCCUCACCCACUUACUAUGAACUACUUCCCCUAUUCACCUUGAUUUUGAUCCAUGCAAACACUCUCCGAAGGGAGGCCGCUCCUAUGCACGGCACAAAGCCCUGCAUGGACCUCACGGUGUGAACUCUUAGGGACACUAGAGCUAAAAUACAUUAUUUUUCUCUAGUUGAAGUGUUCUAGAGAAAAAAAUAGGGUAAUCCAAGCUUCAAGAUUUAUAUUUAGGCUAACUUAAACAAAUCUUAAGUCUAGAUAAAACAUCCAAGUAUAACCAUUAUACAGGAUUUUAACCUAUGAUGUCUAGGUGAAAAACCAUUUUUAUUACCUCACACCUCUCACGAAUGCUCAUAAAACUAGGUUAACUAGGCUCAAGAACUGAUUACGAUCUCCAGGUAGGAGGUGUUCCGUAAACCGUCAACUUAAGAACCUCCAACCUUAGUCAUCUUAUCUGACUUGUUGACAAGAUUGAACCAGGUGAGCCUUUUGUAACCAGUUUUACAAGAUAUCGACCUAUUUCUAUGAAAAAUGGAAGAUAUGUUUAACCUAAGUGAGCAUGCAUUUAAUCUUUGUUAUUGAUUUUAAAAGUCUAAUUUAUUUUAUAACACUUAUAAAAACUUUUUAAACUUAAUCAAUCAUUUUAUCAAUAUAUAAACGUAUAAAACAAUCAAUUAAUAUGGAUUUUAAUUUAUUUAACUUUAAUUAAAUCAUAUUUAAUUAAAUUAAAUCAAACAAUAAAUAUAAUUAAUUUGAUUAAAUCAUAUUUAAUCAAGAAUAACUUAAUUUAUUAAAUAAUUAAUUAAUCAUAUUAAUUAAUUUCCAUAUUAAUCAAUUAACAUGCAUACAAUACAAUAUAACCUUUAUAUCAUACAUUUUAAUGCAUGAACAUGUUAACCUAUGGUGGGAUUUUAAAUCUAUAUGACAUUCAAAAUGCACAUACAAAUUUAAAGUAAUUUAAUCAUACAUCACAUGCAUAAAUAAAAAAAACACCCUAAAAUGGACUGAUUUUUGGCUCCUAAAUUAAGCUAAGUACUAAAUUAUUACAUAAUUAAUUUGGUGUAGUACAGAACCACUCCCAAAAACUUCGAACCGGCUGAAAAACCAACCGAAACCGCUUGAACCGGCCCAAAAACCAAAUUUAUUGGCUUGAACGGCCCAGGCGCACACGGGUCGGCGAAGGCAGGCGCGCGGCGAGGCGGGCGCGCGGCGCAGGGGCGCGCGGCGCGUGCGGGUCGCGAAGCGGGUCAAGGCGGGUUUUCGGUCUGUGACCUUCUUUUCUUCAUUUUUUUCAAUUCUCUCACCGGUUGAACCAAUUACAGCCUAGCUUCAACUCUAAUGACUUUUUUUAUUUUUUUAAAAAUUACAAACACUUUGCAACAAUAAAAAUAAGCCAUUAACAAGGCUAAUUACAAUAAUUAGAACAAAAACACUUAAUCUAGAGCCAAAAUCAUAAUAUAUCCAUUUUAGUUCAAACCAAAAUUUAUCUAAUAAAUAUGAACCCACCACAUGCAAUUGGGUAAAAAUGAAGCAUGCUCUGAUACCACAUGAUAGAACUAAGUCAUGCACAGCGGAAAAAGAAUCGAAUUUCUACCCUAAUUGCCACAAUUAACAUGUAACCAUAAACUAAUCAAAUUAGGGUUUUAAGAAGUAUUACCUUUGAAGCUUUCAAAAGGUUUGAUGUCUUCUUACCAAUUCUACCCGAGACCACCACUAGUACUCAACUGCUAUCCUCUAGACAAAGAACCGGGUUGUGGGACCCAAUUUUGGUGUAGAAAAUAAUGGAGAUAAAAUGAGAUUGGAAGUUUUUUUUUUCUUUUGUUGAGAUGAUGAAAAUGAUAAAAGAGGCAAAAGUCCUUCAACAUUUGAAAACACCUCUAUUUAUAGCCUAAUUGCAUGCAAAAAUGCAUGCAAUUCAUUUGCCAAAUCUCAACACCUAAUGUUCCACUAACAAUUAGUGGAACUUAGUGGGCUAGGUGUCUAUAUCUCAUAUAGCCACAUAUCCCACUAAGAGUUAGUGGGAUUAUCCAACAAAAUGUUGGAUUUUCCCACUAACUUAGUCCAAGGGUAAAAUGGUCAUUAGAUAUUUCUAGUCAAAAGUCAAAAGUCAAUAUUUUGACUUUUUACCAUUUUGUCCGUCUUGACUAAUUCCAACCUCCCGAGCAUGAAUCCGCAUUCAUUUUUCCAAAAUUCAAAUCACAUUUGAAUAUAAGGCCGGUCAAAGUUUGACUUUUCAAAGUCAAAAGUCAACAUUUUGACUUUUUACUAUUUUUGACCAAUUCCGAGCUUCUUAGUAUGAAUCCGCAUUCAUACUUAUAGUAUGUAAAACAUAAAGCUCUAUUUCUAAUUAGAAGACGACGACUAUAUCACUGUAUUUGUCGGUUUCCCUUUCUUCUCCCAAUUCGAACAAUUCGACUUAUUUCAUCACACUGUUCUAAGUUUAAUCCAUAUGAGCUAGCAGAGGAACCUAAUGGACCUAUAGAUCAUGGGCUCCAACGAUUCAAGAUUAACUAGCUAAACUCUUUUAAACCGAGUUAAUCAACAUUCGUUAACUAACGGGUCAUUCCACUAAAGUCCCGUAGUUGCACUCCCCUCACUAUAGAUAUAUUUGUGUCCAUUUGAUAAAACCAUAAUCAGUAAGUUAAUCCUUCACAGGUUGCUCGUAACCUUGGCUGGGUCAAAAUACCGUUUUACCCCAAGAUUACAUCUUGCUCCUUAAGUCCCACUAAUCCACUAUUGAACAAUUGGUUUAAGGUUCAACCUAUAAACUUAAUCCCUCUCGGGCCAAUGAGAGGGUGGGGCCCCUUGUUCAAGACUUGGAUUCAGUGCUUAAGAGAGCAACCUAUCUACUAACCCUAAAGCGGGUAGGAGUGAAUUCCAUCUUGUACCCUAUGUUCCCAGCUAUCCACCCGAUCUUACCCCUGAAAUGGGAGGCUUAUUGGGCCAACGCUGAUGAGCUGCCCUCACCUAUGCAGAUCUAAGGAUAAUCUCGUGUGAACAGGAGUUCAUAGUUAACUCAGGAUUAAGACUAAGUUACCUAGGUCAUCAAUAAUUGAGAUAGUCAGUUUUAAACAGUAAACGGUGUUAUAACGUAAAAAAGACUAAUUCAUGGUUCAGUCUUAUGUAAACAUUUUACAUAGGAUGCCCCCACUUUCAUGUCUCUACAUGAACGAUUAGGAUCACCUCGUUUGCACUACAAAGUGGGCCGCAUCCAUAGUUUCUCUAAAUAAGGCGCCCAACCUUUAUUUCAUAUACUAUAGACUAUUUAGGCUAUAUACUCGAACUUGAUCCACGUUUAUGUUUACACAUAAAGUUCAAGUUUAUUCAAAAAAUAGCCUUGGAACUUGAUUUAUUGGAUUUAAGAUUAUAAUAUUUAAUUUCUCAAUAACAACUUUAUUGAACAGAAUAUGAUUUACAAACUACGAGUUUUAGGACAAAAAAUUCCAACAGUAUGAAGUCGAAUAUUCUGCAAAGAAAGUAAGGAAAUCGGUGUUCUGGUCUAACACAAGUACGAGUAAAAAUACUAUAAGGAUGAAGUGUAUCGCUUACAUACCCUAUUAUUUGGAGGAAUGUCGAUGAUGAAAUGAAAAAACAAGAUUCAUUAAAAUGAAUGAGAAAAUGAUCUUAUUUUAUUUUUAAAAAAUGUUGUGCCUCAGAGGAGUUGAAUCUGUUCGAUGUAACGAACUGAAUCUAUUAGUAGAAACAUCAAUACAAAUUAUGCAGCAAAGUAUAUAUAGGGUUGUAAAUGCAAACAAAAUAAGCAUACAACAUCAACACAUAAAAAUCAAACAGUCAUACAACAUCGACACAAAAAAUAUAUAUCAAACAAUCAUACAACAUCAACAUCAACAUCAACAUCCCUUAAAAUGGCUAUGGAUAGUAAACAUGAGAUGACAUGAAAGAAAUCAUGAAAAGUAUGAAAUGGCAGUGGAUAAGGUUUUAUGUAUAAGAAGGUAUAUCCUUCAAAUAAUGAAGAAAUUCAUGACCCAUAAUAUGCCUUAAACAUAACAGAUCGGAAUUGAACAGUAAGGACAGACAUGCACAUUCUUGUUAACAUAGAUAUGACAAAAGAAAAAAGAAGGACAAAUGGAACUUCAAAAGAAUAAAAGAAAAUGAAUUUACCUACCAAAUGAAGAAAGAACAGAGGAGGAAGCAAGGAAAACAACACAUAAUAAAAUACAACAAAUGAAGUGCUAUAUAUAGAGGGAUAGAUGGUCAAGUAUGCCUUUAUUGACCCAUACCAAAAAAAUAAAAGAAGGGAACCUCUUUAAAUGACAGAAGUGUACAGAAAAGAGGAGGACAUAGUCAAAACCUACCACAUUAAGACAAAGAUAAGCUAUGAAUAGACAAAUGCAUAACCAAGGAAAAUGAUUGAACACAGACAGUGCAAUGUUAUGGAUUGAUGAGAUUUGCUUACAAAUAAAGAGAAUAAAACAGAACAGACAGUUGCUUGCAAAUAAAGAGAGCAGACUUCACAGCAACUCAACAUCAUAAGGCAUCUUAAUUGCAAGUAAACUGAAACUGUAAACAUAGUUACUCAAAUGUCAAAUGUCAAAAGAAAUAAAUAUGACAACAUAUUUCUUAGUGUCAAAAGAAAUAAAUAUGACAACAUAUUUCUUAGGGCACCAAUUAAAAAACAUGCCUGAAAAUGCAGUGUUCAGAUUGCUAAACAUCGUAGCAACAAGAAAUUCAAACAAACAAAACUAAUCAAAAACAUGAAAAACAAGGACAACAUUGUAGUUUCAGACGGGGAUGGCCAAAAAUGAAAAAAUAUGGAAGGACAUUGAAGUAAGAAACAAAACUACUUACGAAUAAUUUUCCAGACAAGCACAUAAACAAAAGUAAUUACAAAUAAUUAUGAAUUCAAAGAAACAAAACUAAUCAAAAACAUGGAAAAUAAACAACAUUGUAGUUUCAAAGAGGAUGCCCAAAAAUGAAAAAACAUGAACGUAAAUUGAAGUAAGAAACAAAACUACUUCAAAUAAUUUUUCAGAGAAGCACAUAAACAAAAGUAAUUACGAAUAAUUAUGAAUUUAAACAAACAAAACUAAUCAGAAACAUGAAAAACAAACAACAACAUUGCAGUUUCAAACAGGGAUGACCGAAUAUGAAAAAUUGGAAGUAAAUUGAAGAAAAAAACAAAAACAAUUACAAAUAAUUAUUCAGACAAGUACAUAAACAGAAUUAAUCACAAAUAAUUAUUCAGACAAUACAUAAGUGUAAUCCUUAUCAUCAGCUUCGAUAGAAACUCAAAAUCCAACCACUUACCUCCAACCCUACCUUGCUCAAACAUCCCAAUUGCAGAAGAUGAUAGUAACGAUAGUGUAGGAAGUGUCCAAAUCAGAGAGAAAAAAAUACUCGAUCGGCAAAUGGGAGUCCAAGCGGCAAGGGGAAGUGGAAGGGGAAAACUGAGUCGGAAUUGCAUGUUCACCAAGAAGAGUGGUGAACAUGCAAGCGAUUGAGUUUCGGAGGUAAAGUGCAAAACUCGGUCGUUCAACAAAAUCAAAAGGGAUACCCAUUUGUUUCGGAGGCAACGCUGUGAGCGAAGCCUUCAACGAAACUUGGGAGACGACGAGUAGGAGAGAAACAAAAUUAAGAAAUUUUAAUCUGUUUUUAAACUUUUAAAAAUGGUUCAAAAGUUCUAUAAGUUAGUUUUGUAUGAAAACUAUUAAAAUUUUGUUUCAAAAGUAUCCUCCAACUAUUCAAAAUUUUCAUAAACACUCUUAAACUUAUAAAAAAUUCAAAAAUACUUUCAUUUAUCUAAUUUUUAAACAAAAUUUCUUAUCCCUCAAAAUAAAAAUCAAAACUUUAAGUUAAAACUAUAGUUUUAAAUUUUCAUCCAUAUGUAGGCAUUUCUAUCGAUAUUUUCACAUUUUCAUGUGUUUGAUAUUGAUAGUAAUGAAGCAAUAUUUCCAUUACACCAUAGAAAAAUGCACAAAUCACAACAAAUAAACAUAAAAAUAACACUAAUAUAAAAUAUAAAUAAUAGACAUGUUUACUUAUUUGAAAAUAAUAAAAUAUUUAUUUACUAAUUUAAAAUUAUUAUUUUUUAAUUAUUGUUUUUAUAAUAAUUUUUCAAAAAUAUCUAUCGAAAUCAAAAUUUAUGUAAUAUCAAGACUUCAAUAUAUCAGUCAACAUUCAUAUCUUAAACAUGAUUUAAACCAUACAAUUUUACAAAAUUUCACGAAGUUUUCUCGUUAAAACAAUUACUAGUCAAAUAAAAAACAUCUCACGUUGAGAGAUCUAUCAGACUAUCACUAUAUGUUAAUAGUCAUAUACAUUUUGUUAUUUGACAAUGGUACAACAAUAACUAUUGAGAAGGGUUAUGUUUGUGAUCUAUGAUUAUGGGUUAAUAGUCAGAUAAAAAUAAAACUAUAGUUUUAAUUUAAAAUUUUUAUUUUUAUUUUAUAAAUUGGUGCAAAAUUUGGAGAUUAUCUUUUAACUUUUUUUUUUUUUUUGAAGCAUAAGGGUAUUAUAUUUUUUAAAACUUUUUAAUAGUUGAGGGUUAUUUUUUAGGAAAAUUGCAUAGGAUGACAUUUUGAGAAUAUAAUAUAACAAUUAUAGCACAUUGUUUUAGAAUUUUGCAAAUAUGGUAAAAUUUUUACUUCUUCAUCUUAAAUUUGACAUUAUUUCUAAACUACCAUUCAAUAACUUAUUUUUCUUCCUCUUUUUAAUGUCCUACUCAUUAUUUAUUUAUGCUCCCACUUUUUAAGGCCCUAAUUACUUGUUUAUUCUUAUACUAGAAAAAUUAUUUAUUCUUUCUGUCUUCAUCUUAAUUUUAAAAUAUCAAUAGUACAUUAGUUUUAAUAUGAAUAAUAUAAUAUAAUGGUUGUUGAUUGGAGUAAUUUAACUUUAUUUGUGAUUUUUUUUUACUUUCUUUAUGUGUAUUUUGAGUUGAAUUUGAUUCCAAAUGAUUUUCUUUUAUUUUUUUAUAUUAAUUUUUUUGUUUUACUCUGUCUCAGUUUCGUAUGAUAGUAUUGUAGUAUACUUAUAUUAUAUGUAUUAGUUGGUUAAUAUACUUACUACGUGGUUUUCAUUUUUUCAAAUUUUAUGUAGUUUAUUAGAGUAUUAUUAAGUAUAUGAAUGAUGUAAUUCAAUAUAUCAUUAUCAAGUAUAUCAACAAUAUAUUGUUAAAACAUAUCAGUAAAGUGAAUCAUUAACAAGUAUAUGAAUCGAGUUUACAAGUGUAUAUCGAUAGCAUAUCAAGUGUAUAAGUAGGACUUCAAGCAUAUCAAGUUCAUUUAAUCAAUCAAUUGUAUAAGUGGAUAAUACUAAAUGUAUAUGCAAUGUAUCAGGUGUAUCAAACAUAUAUUAGCAUGUUUCGGUAUCGAGUGUAUCAAAGAGUAUCAGGUGCAUCAAGUGUAUCAAUCAAAUGUAUCAGGUGUAUCAAGAAGUAUUAGGUGUAUCAAUGGGUGUAUUAGUGAUAGAACUAAGUCAUGCACAGCGGAAAAAGAAUCGAAUUUCUACCCUAAUUGCCACAAUUAACAUGUAACCAUAAACUAAUCAAAUUAGGGUUUUAAGAAGUAUUACCUUUGAAGCUUUCAAAAGUUUGAUGUCUUCUUACCAAUUCUACCCGAGACCACCACUAGUACUCAACUGCUAUCCUCUAGACAAAGAACCGGGUUGUGGAACCCAAUUUUGGUGUAGAAAGUAAUGGAGAUAAAAUGAGAUUGGAAGCUUUCUUUUUUCUUUUGUUGAGAUGAUGAAAAUGAUAAAAGAGGCAAAAGUCCUUCAACAUUUGAAAACAUCUCUAUUUAUAGCCUAAUUACAUGCAAAAAUGCAUGCAAUUCAAUUGCCAAAUCUCAACACCUAAUAUUCCACUAACAAUUAGUGGAACUUAGUGGGCUAGGUGUCUAUAUCUCAUAUAGCCACAUAUCCCACUAAGAGUUAGUGGGAUUAUCCAAC
This 24000-nucleotide long non-coding RNA is filed under the name Cucumis sativus (cucumber). RNAcentral's name for it is "long non-coding RNA (CSAT_LNC000172)". Lineage: Eukaryota; Viridiplantae; Streptophyta; Magnoliopsida; Cucurbitales; Cucurbitaceae. The record is from RNAcentral.